UCCAUAUAUACUGUGGAGGCCAAGUGACUUCCUAAAAGAAAGAUGAAAUUGUAGCCACUAACAUAAUCUAGGGUUCAUGGCUUUAAAUGAGAACAAAAUAAUAAUAAGGAACAGUUAUUGAUCUCUUACUGUAUGCCUGGCUCUUGGUUAAAUUAUGUGCAUUAUCUGAUUUAAUCUUCAUGUGAGAAUCACAAAGAUCCUUAUAAGAGGGACACAGGAAUCAUCAGAGCCAGAAGAGGAGGGAGUGUGAUAACAGAAGCAGAGAAUGGAGUGACACACUUAAAGGUAGAAGAAGGGACCAUAAGACUCUACAUGGCCACUCCAAGCUAAAAAAAGAAAGUAGCAGAUGCUCUCCUCAGUCUCUAAAAAGAAACAAGCCUGAAUGACACAUUGACUUUAGCUCAGUUGUGUAGUCAGCUUUCCUUUACUCUACAAAAAAAUCUGAGAUUGUACACCUAUGCCAGUCCAUGUAUCUGUGGCAAAGCCUCCUCACCGUGCUGGGACUCUCACACCUGGCUCGAGCAUCCUUCUUACCUGGGGGCUCUCCUUAGCCUCUUAGCCCGUGUUACCCUCUGUGCCAAGGAGACAGCCCACCCUGAGCUGCUGCCUUCACUCCAGAGCGGCCCAACACUCUCUGCCCUACUGGUUUCAGGACUGAACUGUUCCAGUAAAAAAGGAAAAGAGGAAGAGAAAGGAGAAGAGGAAUAUUUGCUUUCUUAGGACCAGAUCAUCACCAUGACAAAUUCUUAGUCAACUCCUAAGUUAAUGGAAGAGCUGGCUUCCGAUCAAGUUUAUUUUGGAAACCAUUUCUGAGCAAUGAUGACAAAGAUCUUCGGUGGAUAUGGGUCCAGAUAGAACCUAGGAAGCCUGGCAUCUGGUCUUGCCUUGCACUUUACCAGUUGUGUGAAGCCUAUUGUUCUACCUCUAGUCCUUUGUACAGUAGAG
Long non-coding RNA from Heterocephalus glaber (naked mole-rat), 945 nucleotides. The record is from Ensembl. NCBI's taxonomy places the organism in Eukaryota, Metazoa, Chordata, Mammalia, Rodentia, Bathyergidae.